UACGGAGGGGGCUAGCGUUGUUCGGAAUUACUGGGCGUAAAGCGCGCGUAGGCGGAUCUGCAAGUCGGGGGUGAAAUCCCGGAGGCUCAACCUCGGAACUGCCUUCGAUACUGCGGGUCUCGAGUCCGGGAGAGGUGAGUGGAAUUCCUAGUGUAGAGGUGAAAUUCGUAGAUAUUAGGAAGAACACCAGUGGCGAAGGCGGCUCACUGGCCCGGUACUGGACGCUGAGGCGCGAAAGCGUGGGGAGCAAACAGGGAUUAAGAAACCCCAG
RNAcentral lists this ribosomal RNA (271 nucleotides) under uncultured bacterium. RNAcentral describes it as "partial 16S ribosomal RNA". It matches the Rfam family "Bacterial small subunit ribosomal RNA", at positions 524 to 790 of the family's 1533-position model. The record is from RNAcentral.